GAUGAACGCUGGCGGCGUGCCUAAUACAUGCAAGUCGAGCGAACAGACGAGGAGCUUGCUCCUCUGAUGUUAGCGGCGGACGGGUGAGUAACACGUGGAUAACCUACCUAUAAGACUGGGAUAACUUCGGGAAACCGGAGCUAAUACCGGAUAACAUGUUGAACCGCAUGGUUCAACGGUGAAAGACGGUCUUGCUGUCACUUAUAGAUGGAUCCGCGCCGCAUUAGCUAGUUGGUAAGGUAACGGCUUACCAAGGCAACGAUGCGUAGCCGACCUGAGAGGGUGAUCGGCCACACUGGAACUGAGACACGGUCCAGACUCCUACGGGAGGCAGCAGUAGGGAAUCUUCCGCAAUGGGCGAAAGCCUGACGGAGCAACGCCGCGUGAGUGAAGAAGGUCUUCGGAUCGUAAAACUCUGUUAUUAGGGAAGAACAAAUGUGUAAGUAACUAUGCACGUCUUGACGGUACCUAAUCAGAAAGCCACGGCUAACUACGUG
Molecule: ribosomal RNA, 497 nt
Filed under: uncultured bacterium
Lineage: Bacteria
Description: partial 16S ribosomal RNA
Rfam family: Bacterial small subunit ribosomal RNA
Source: RNAcentral